UGUGAUGGCUGAUCCUAAAUAUGAAGGAAACUAACUUUUCUUAGCUUGCUUUUAUGUUUUUGUUAGACUUCCCAUGUGUUAGUUAUGAGGACUGAGAUGUUUUAUGUUAAAACAGUUGUAUGCACGUAUGUUGUAAGUUUGCUGCUGCUACUUUCAUAGAUACCUUGCGUUUUUCACUUCUUUUUGAUGCUCUUUUUGUUUAAGCUCUGAAUGUGAACUAA
RNAcentral lists this unclassified non-coding RNA (221 nucleotides) under Hevea brasiliensis (rubber tree). Lineage: Eukaryota; Viridiplantae; Streptophyta; Magnoliopsida; Malpighiales; Euphorbiaceae. The record is from RNAcentral.